AACGAACGCUGGCGGCAUGCCUAACACAUGCAAGUCGAACGAGACCUUCGAGUCUAGUGGCGCACGGGUGCGUAACGCGUGGGAACCUGCCCUUAGGUUCGGAAUAACUCCCCGAAAGGGGUGCUAAUACCGGAUAAUGUCUUCGGACCAAAGAUUUAUCGCCUUUGGAUGGGCCCGCGUUGGAUUAGCUAGUUGGUAGGGUAAAAGCCUACCAAGGCGACGAUCCAUAGCUGGUCUGAGAGGAUGAUCAGCCACACUGGGACUGAGACACGGCCCAGACUCCUACGGGAGGCAGCAGUGGGGAAUAUUGGACAAUGGGCGAAAGCCUGAUCCAGCAAUGCUGCGUGAGUGAUGAAGGCCUUAGGGUUGUAAAGCUCUUUUACCCGGGAUGAUAAUGACAGUACCGGGAGAAUAAGCUCCGGCUAACUCCGUG
RNAcentral lists this ribosomal RNA (433 nucleotides) under uncultured bacterium. RNAcentral's name for it is "partial 16S ribosomal RNA". It matches the Rfam family "Bacterial small subunit ribosomal RNA", at positions 29 to 507 of the family's 1533-position model. The record is from RNAcentral.